This is a non-coding RNA of Cinara cedri, 268 nucleotides long. The record is from the annotation of a GenBank genome assembly. Lineage: Eukaryota; Metazoa; Arthropoda; Insecta; Hemiptera; Aphididae.
GAUUAUUAUUCUUAAUUGUUUAAAAAUGUACAACCUUUUUUUUGCAGUUUAUGUUUAGUAUUAAUGCAGGUACAAUUAUUAAUUAUGAAAUUAAUUAAUUAUAUACAAUAAAAAAAGAGCUAAUACUGCUGACAUAUGCUACUGUUUAAGUGGAAAGUUGUGAAUGUAAGAUUCAUAGAGUUGUUUAAUUUAUAUUUAUACAUAAUGAUGAAUUAUUGAUAACCAAAAAUGAUUUCCAGAGAAAUUUGGUUAAAUUUGUUUUGAAAUG